This is a long non-coding RNA of Sinocyclocheilus rhinocerous, 411 nucleotides long. RefSeq lists it as uncharacterized. NCBI's taxonomy places the organism in Eukaryota, Metazoa, Chordata, Actinopteri, Cypriniformes, Cyprinidae. The transcript is spliced from 3 exons. The record is from RefSeq and is a predicted model, not a curated record.
CUUCCUAUACAACAAUCCAUUCUUUAGCUCAAGUCUAUUCCAUUGUCUCAUCCAUAGGGUUACUGCAGGUGAGUGGAAUUUCAGGUUUGCAGGUUUGUUGUUUGACUCCAGGUAAAUAAUUACCUCUUUCAUUUCAGGGUCUGCUCGCUGCCUCCUGAUCAGAUCCUCUACGGACAGGUGAGGUAUCUCGGGAAGACCAUGGACACCUUCUCUCUGGAUUUCUGGAGAUUCCAGGUCAUCUGAGGGUCCACCAUUCAGACGACGAGACAGUCCGUCCACAUCUUGAUUUUGAGCUCCCGCUCUGUACUGCAUCUUAAAAUUGUACAUUGAAAGACUGGAUAACCAUCUAUAACUAGUGGCAUCGAGUUUGGCCGAGAAGCGCCCGGGUCUAUUUAUCUAAGCGCACCUUGG